AACGAACGCUGGCGGCAUGCCUAACACAUGCAAGUCGAACGAGACCUUCGGGUCUAGUGGCGCACGGGUGCGUAACGCGUGGGAACCUGCCCUUAGGUUCGGAAUAACUCCCCGAAAGGGGUGCUAAUACCGGAUAAUGUCUUCGGACCAAAGAUUUAUCGCCUUUGGAUGGGCCCGCGUUGGAUUAGCUGGUUGGUAGGGUAAAAGCCUACCAAGGCGACGAUCCAUAGCUGGUCUGAGAGGAUGAUCAGCCACACUGGGACUGAGACACGGCCCAGACUCCUACGGGAGGCAGCAGUGGGGAAUAUUGGACAAUGGGCGAAGGCCUGAUCCAGCAAUGCCGCGUGAGUGAUGAAGGCCUUAGGGUUGUAAAGCUCUUUUACCCGGGAUGAUAAUGACAGUACCGGGAGAAUAAGCUCCGGCUAACUCCGUG
RNAcentral lists this ribosomal RNA (433 nucleotides) under uncultured bacterium. RNAcentral's name for it is "partial 16S ribosomal RNA". It matches the Rfam family "Bacterial small subunit ribosomal RNA", at positions 29 to 507 of the family's 1533-position model. The record is from RNAcentral.